AUCUCCGGGGGUAGAGCACUGUUUCGGCUAGGGGGCCAUCCCGGCUUACCAACCCGAUGCAAACUGCGAAUACCGGAGAAUGUUAUCACGGGAGACACACGGCGGGUGCUAACGUCCGUCGUGAAGAGGGAAACAACCCAGACCGCCAGCUAAGGUCCCAAAGUCAUGGUUAAGUGGGAAACGAUGUGGGAAGGCCCAGACAGCCAGGAUGUUGGCUUAGAAGCAGCCAUCAUUUAAAGAAAGCGUAAUAGCUCACUGGUCGAGUCGGCCUGCGCGGAAGAUGUAACGGGGCUAAACCAUGCACCGAAGCUGCGGCAGCGAACGUAUCACUUAAAGCGAUUCAGCGGGUUACGAUUGACGGAGCGAAGCGACGUCAAAGCGUAUACAAAGUCGAGUCGGUUUAAGGAUACGUUCGUUGGGUAGGGGAGCGUUCUGUAAGCCUG
This 443-nucleotide ribosomal RNA is filed under the name Salmonella enterica subsp. enterica serovar Senftenberg. RNAcentral's name for it is "partial 23S ribosomal RNA". It matches the Rfam family "Bacterial large subunit ribosomal RNA", at positions 892 to 1251 of the family's 2925-position model. Lineage: Bacteria; Pseudomonadati; Pseudomonadota; Gammaproteobacteria; Enterobacterales; Enterobacteriaceae. The record is from RNAcentral.